Small nuclear RNA from Sarcophilus harrisii (Tasmanian devil), 102 nucleotides. NCBI's taxonomy places the organism in Eukaryota, Metazoa, Chordata, Mammalia, Dasyuromorphia, Dasyuridae. The record is from Ensembl.
GUAUUGGCUUUGGCAGCACAUAUACUAAAAUUAGAAUGAAACAGAUUAGCAUGACCCCUAUACAAGUAUGAUGUGCAAAUUCAUGGAGCAUUUCUUUCUUUC